RNAcentral lists this ribosomal RNA (367 nucleotides) under uncultured eukaryote. Its description in RNAcentral is "partial 18S ribosomal RNA". It matches the Rfam family "Eukaryotic small subunit ribosomal RNA", at positions 592 to 976 of the family's 1831-position model. The record is from RNAcentral.
CAAUAGCGUAUAUUAAAGUUGUUGCAGUUAAAAAGCUCGUAGUUGAAGAUACGAACGCUUACACUAGAACAAAGUUUCCGGUGUCUGCGUUCACUUUUCGCAAAGACAGCCUGGCCCAUUAGUUUGGGUCUUGUUUGAGUUGCGUCAUUUACUGUGAACAAAUUAGGGUGUUUAAAGCAGGCCUACGUUUGAAUACACUAGCAUGGAAUAAUAAGAUAUGAUCUUGGUCGUAUUUUGUUGGUGACUACCAAGAUAAUGAUUGAUAGAAACUGUUGUGGGUAUUCGUAUGAGCAUGUCAGAGGUGAAAUUCUUGGAUUUUGAUCAGACGAACUACUGCGAAAGUAUUUACCAAGGAUGUCUUCAUUAA